RNAcentral lists this ribosomal RNA (496 nucleotides) under uncultured bacterium. RNAcentral's name for it is "bacterial SSU rRNA". It matches the Rfam family "Bacterial small subunit ribosomal RNA", at positions 28 to 531 of the family's 1533-position model. The record is from RNAcentral.
GACGAACGCUGGCGGCGUGCCUGACACAUGCAAGUCGGACGGUUCUUGCACCUUCAAGCUUGCUUGCUGGUGCAAGGAUAGUGGCGGACGGGUGAGUAACGCGUGAACAUCUACCCAUUGGAGGGGGACAACCCGUCGAAAGGCGGGCUAAUACCGCGCAAGCCGCGAGGUGAGAGGCUGCCUAUUGGUGGCCGCCGAUGGAUGGGUUCGCGUCCUAUCAGCUGGUUGGUGGGGUAACGGCCUACCAAGGCGAAGACGGGUAGCCGGUCUGAGAGGAUGGCCGGCCACACUGGAACUGAGACACGGUCCAGACUCCUACGGGAGGCAGCAGUGGGGAAUAUUGGGCAAUGGGGGUAACCCUGACCCAGCGACGCCGCGUGAGGGACGAAGGUUUUCGGAUCGUAAACCUCUGUUGUACGGGAAGAAGGAAUUGACGGUACCGUACGAGAAAGCCCCGGAAACUACGUGCCCAGCAGCCGCGGUAAGCUAGUCUACG